AUACGUAUGGUGCAAGCGUUAUCCGGAUUUACUGGGUGUAAAGGGUGCGUAGGUGGCAUGGUAAGUCAGAUGUGAAAACUAUGGGCUCAACCCAUAGACUGCAUUUGAAACUGCCGAGCUAGAGUGCAGGAGAGGAAAGUGGAAUUCCUAGUGUAGCGGUGAAAUGCGUAGAUAUUAGGAGGAACACCAGUGGCGAAGGCGACUUUCUGGACUGUAACUGACACUGAGGCACGAAAGCGUGGGGAGCAAACAGGAUUAGAUACCCUGGUAGUCCACGCCCUAAACGAUGAAUACUAGGUGUGGGGGGACUGACCCCUUCCGUGCCGGAGUAAACACAAUAAGUAUUCCACCUGGGGAGUACGACCGCAAGGUUGAAACUCAAAGGAAUUGACGGGG
This 396-nucleotide ribosomal RNA is filed under the name uncultured bacterium. RNAcentral's name for it is "partial 16S ribosomal RNA". It matches the Rfam family "Bacterial small subunit ribosomal RNA", at positions 523 to 918 of the family's 1533-position model. The record is from RNAcentral.